GACGUAGGGCGCGAGCGUUGUCCGGAUUUAUUGGGCGUAAAGAGCUCGUAGGCGGCUUGUCGCGUCGAAUGUGAAAUCUCAGGGCUCAACUCUGACAUUGCAUUCGAUACGGGCAGGCUAGAGUUCGGUAGGGGAGACUGGAAUUCCUGGUGUAGCGGUGAAAUGCGCAGAUAUCAGGAAGAACACCCGUGGCGAAGGCGGCUCUCUGGGACGGUACUGACGCUGAGACGCGAAAGCGUGGGGAGCGAACAGG
This 253-nucleotide ribosomal RNA is filed under the name uncultured bacterium. RNAcentral describes it as "partial 16S ribosomal RNA". It matches the Rfam family "Bacterial small subunit ribosomal RNA", at positions 524 to 776 of the family's 1533-position model. The record is from RNAcentral.